Molecule: small nuclear RNA, 107 nt
Organism: Mustela putorius furo (domestic ferret)
Lineage: Eukaryota; Metazoa; Chordata; Mammalia; Carnivora; Mustelidae
Source: Ensembl
GUGCUCACUUCGGCAGCACAUAUACUAAAAUUGGAACCAUACGGAGAAGAUUAGCAUAGUCCCUGCACAAGGAUGACACGCAAAUUUGUGAAGCAUUACAUAUUUUA